GUCAGGGCUGGGCUCCCUGGGCACCAUGUUGGGGCCAUCGUGCUCGGCAAAGGCCUGCUUCUCUCUGCCUGCCUCAUCUCCGGGCUCACAGGGCCGGAUUGUGGGAGGUCAGGUUAGGGGACACUGUCCAGUGCAGGGCCCGGGGACUGGCCUCAGCCAACCUUCGCACCAGGCCCCAAACUCGGUGGGUCCUGCCCUUCAUGCUUGGGGGAAAGAUGGCAGCCCAGCUGGCUGCUGUCCCUGGUCCUGAGAGCCCCACAGUAGACACUGCAAGUGCCAGUCAUGCCCUGCUGUGAUUCCACCAUUGCAGUGUGGCCCUAGGUACAAGUUGCCAUGACCACCUGAUGCCACUAACCUGGUGGCCCAAGGGUGGGCACUGAGGGCAGCCUCGUGCUGCUGCUGCUGGCCAGGGAACUGUGUGUUGGGAUGCACUGGAUGAGGGAGCAGAGGUCGCCAGGAGACUGAGGUGAAAGCUGUUCGGUGUCCCAGGUGCCUCCUCUUGGGGUCCAGGACAGCAGAGUCAGGAGUAGCCUGACGUGGGUCAGGAAGGAGCCGCUCAGCCCUGGCCCCUGCAGAUUUCGCCACCUCCAACUGCUCCCUGUCACCCAUAGAGAACUCGGGCACCUGAGUCAGGAGGACCCAUCACCCAGGAGGCCUGGUUAGGGGACCCUCCCUCCCCUGAACAUGGUGGCCGGGAUGGAGCUGGGGGAGCAUCUCGGGGCUGCCCCAGGGCAGGGACCAUGCCGAGGGUCACCCAUUGGCCACCCAGAGCAGCUCCUUCAUCUGGGGACAAAGGGCAUUUCGUGAUCUUCUCACGAUGGGCUACCAACUUCCUCACGGCAGGCUGGCCCACAGCCUGGACUCUCGGGUAACCGUGGGCACUGACAAGCCUUGUCCUUUGUUCCCUUCUUUCCUCCUUCCCGCCCUUUUCUCUUCCUUCCUUCCAUUGAUGGGGACUGGCCUCAGCCAACCUUCGCACCAGGCCCCAAACGCGGUGGGUCCUGCCCUUCAUGCUUGGGGGAAAGAUGGCAGCCCAGCUGGCUGCUGUCCCUCGUCCUGAGAGCCCCACAGUAGACACUGCAAGUGCCAGUCAUGCUCUGCUGUGAUUCCACCAUUGCAGUCCUAGGGUUUGAAUCCAGUCCCUCGCACAUGCGAGGCAAGCACCCAGCCACUGAGCCACGUCCCCAGGCCUUUUUAUUUUGAGACAGGGUCUUGCUAAGUUGCCCAUGCUGGCCUCAAAUUCAAGAGCCUCCCGCCUCUCCCUCCAGAGAAGCUGGUAUUACAAGCGUCCAGCAUCUCACCCAGCUCCAAAGCUUCUGCUUCAUACAAACCAAGGAGAAGCAGCUAUUUCUUGUUUUUCUGGUCUUUAAAAUAACUUUUUGACACAUCCAGGUGACUUUGCUUGGGGAUGGCAGGUUUUCUUCAUCUUGGCCAGGAAACUUUAUUAAACUCUAGCUGGGUUUGGGGGUGGGCCCAGGAAAGGGGCAACAUGGGCAUCACAAUGCAGCAGGACACGGGCUGUGGGCAGUCCUGCUGGGCGGGUGGUGCACACCUGUAAGCCCAGCACUCGGAGGCUGAAGCAGGACAAUGGCCACAAGUUCUCAACCACACUGGACUCUCGGUGAGUUCAAGUCCAGCCUGAACUAGAUAGUGAGACCCUGUCUCCAAAAGCCAACACCAAAGACAGACGAACUCAGCGAAAGUGCAGUUCUCCAGGAAGAACAAGUGGCUGUCAGAGGGACAGUCCAGGAGAAGCCAAGUCACCCGAGACCCUCUGACAGUGCUUGGGUUCAUUCCUCUGGCUUUUUUAACAUGGGAACCGGUCAGAACUUUUCCGCGGCAUAAAUAUCCGUGAACCUCAGGAGUGGGAACAUGAUGAACAGAAAAAACUGACUGGGGCGGCGUGACGUGUGUUUGUAGGUCCUGAGAUGGCCUGAGGUCUGAAUAAGAAAAUAUCUCUUAUAAAUGUGACAAAGCUCUCCCUUUAAUUACAGCACUCUGAAAGGUAGACAUCAUGGCCACGUAGGGAUGAUGUGGAAAUCGCUUCACACUCACAAAACAGCUUGUGUCGAGAUGACGCACCUGAAACCUGAUUCCCUGGCACAAGUCUGCUGUCAGAAUGUCACCACUGUCCAGGCACCCCUAUAAUCCCAGUGAUACCCCUAUAAUCCUGGCAUCAGGAGGCCGAGGCAGGAAGAUUAUUUUGAGUUCAAGACAAACCUGUCUCAAAAACAGAAAAUCACUGUCACCAAACCCGGGUCCUCGGAGGCAGCAAGUGUGCUCAUUUAAACGGCAGGAAGAUGAAUGUGAACUGCUCUUCAGAUUGGGGCAUCUGAUUCAAUUCCUUAGGAUGCCCCAGCCUCUCGGGCCUGCUGGUGUAUUUCCAGGGGCGCUGUCUCCUGUUACUGACUGUUCCCGUCAAGGGUACCCCGGGUGCAGCGUACCUAAACCAGCCUCCAGAAUGUCCACUCAGUGUUAGGUCCCUUGACUUCUGAGCCCCCAAACUUCAGCAAGCACAGGCCGACCAUGGCCGCCUGGACACCCAGCUUCCUUCAUCAGCUGCCACGUGGCCUUGGCAGACCCUGGAGGCCUCAGAGCGGAGGCCAGGACUUCUCACCAGCCCCAAGUGGUGUCAGCAUGGACUGGGAGCCCUGGCAUGAAAGGCCCGGGUUACAACGAUCACAGCCCCAAGUGGUGUCAGCAUGGACUGGGAGCCCUGGCAUGAAAGGCCCGGGUUACAACGACUAGCCACGUCCUUCAGCACCUUGGUCCUCGGGCCACCGAAGGAUCCCAUUCACCUUCACAAGCACAGAGUCCUGUCUAUGCUCAGUGUGAGGGUGUGCAAGGCCCUGCCCAGCGGUGCUCACACCUGUGCUCCUCUGCCCCACGGCACAGCAGUUUCCUAGGGGCUGGGCCAGGCCAGAGCCAGCGUGUGCAGCCCCGGCGUCCACGCAGCCACUUAGAAGCAGCCCAGCUGUGCAGGGACUAUUUUCCCUGUUUCUUUAAAAAAAUAAAAUAAAAAGCUUUCAGAGGAGACUUUUAGCCAUUGACUCAAAAUGCUAGAAUUGCGACUCCUUGGGCUCAAGAGCUGCAGAGACGGGAGAACAGCCCAAGGGAGUCCUGGCAUGAAGGGUCUGGGCUUUGGAAGAGCUGGUCGCCUUGUGAGCACCGCACAGCGGCGACACAGUGACACCUGCACCCCAGUGUCCGGUGCGUGGCACUGUUGCUUCACCAGAGCCGGCAGGAUUUAAAAGGCCCUGUGCCGCCCUGUUUGCAGUGGGUCAUGGCCCUCAGAUGGCUGCCUGCCUGCGGCUUGGAUUGUUAUCCAUCGAGGACUAGGACACAAAUUGCUCCCCUACCCAGUGGAGGACAGGAGCCCGGCAACACCCUCCUCAGACCAAAUCGAGGCCAUGUUGAAUCCACAAGCAGCUGCCAUGCAGGACGCAGCUCUGUGCGCAGGCGCGGGGUGGGGCUGGUCCCUGGCCCUUGGGUGGCCACAGGGAGCCCAUGUGACUGCACCACCUCAGGCCUUGCAUCUUUUCAGCCAUGACAUCUGCCACUCCUGGGUGUCUGUGUUACCCACAACCUUGUCCCACUGCAGCGACCUGGGUCCCUCUGCCACAAUCCUUCUGCAUGCACCAUCCCAGGUUCCAGCUGACAUGCAAAAACCCCUUCCCAGGUCCGGAGGACAAGUGCGCGAAGUGGAGAGGAGGUUGGCAACUCGACCCGGGACUGCAAGAUGCCUGGGACCCGCAGGCAGCUUGAGACGAGGUCACCUGAGGUACCCCUUUCUCUGCAGUGGCCCCAGGGCCCCUGCACAUCGAGGUCAUCCCAGACAGCCCGCUCCCCUCUCCCUGCUCCUUCCAAGUGGAUCCCGGGCCGGGCUGCCCAGUGACACUCUACACACAUGGCAAGAAAACGACAAGUGUCCUUCUCGGUCAUCUGCAGCCUCCCGUGUCCAGCUCUGGAGGGGAAAGUGACAGUCCAUCCACAGCACCUCCGACGUUGGGUCCCAGGCUGGGAAGUGACUACAGGUCACCCCCAGCCACCGUCCCCACCAGCAUCUCCAGGGCCCAGGGACUGAGGCCGCACGGGCCCACUGUAGGCCAAGUCCCGGCACCUUGAGCACAGCCAGCAGCGGCAGCAUCACCCUGCGGCUGCUGUUCAGUCAAGUUCCGCUGCGAUUCACCUAAAUGCUGAGGAGCCUGGAAACCCCUGGGCCUGUGCUGGCUGCACCUGUCCACGAACCCCGAGAAUGUACCUGUUAGUGAGGUGCUGCUCAGGGCUCCCCGGGUCUAGUCCCUAGCACUACAAAGAAAAAGAAGUAGGGACUGGCUCAUGAGGUCCCCCUGAGCUGUAUCCCAAGGUGGCUCAGCCUGCCCAUGCCCUCAGCCAGGGACUGUAGGCCCGCCGUCCUCUGCCCCCUCCUGACCUGAGCAGGGAGAGGCCAGGAAGACCACCCUGUGCAGAGCACCCUUGUCUCCCCAACCUCCCACUCCACACCCCCCAAGUCUGCCGGUCCUGAGCCCAUGUGAAGGACAUCAGGAGGACAGGAGCGCAAAUGAGGAAGGCUCGACGCAGUGACAUCUCCUGGCCACCAGGAGGCUCUCCGCUUCCUGCCGCACAGGGAGGUGAGGGGACCCUGGUCACCCGCCCUCUCCAGCAGCUCCUCCCUCGCCCAGUCCAUCUGUGACACGAAGUAUAAACAGGAAAUGCCAUCGGACCACCAGGGGCCCGGGAGGUCACACCCUGCCGCCCAGGACCCACACCCUGGAAGUUCUGCAGAGCUGGACCGAGGUCAGGAGAGAAGCCACCCCGAGCUCCACAUCAGGAGAAUCUGGCUGGAAAAAAGCUUAAUACUCAAUGAACCUGUUUUCCUAGAAGAAAAGCAAAAAGAAAUAGAAAGAAAGAAAGCGAAGGAAGGAAGGAAGGAAAGAAGAGAGAGCGAUCACACUCCCGGCUGCCUUCGCGGCUGUCUCCUUCUCCCAGGUCCCUACCAUCUUCCUUUUAAGGGCAUCCAGAUCUGAUUUAUCUAUGCGCAGAUGAGAUUCAAGUCUGUAUUUGUAGCAAUCAUUUAUUAAAUUUACCCCACCUUAUUAAAUGA
Molecule: long non-coding RNA, 5104 nt
Organism: Cavia porcellus (domestic guinea pig)
Lineage: Eukaryota; Metazoa; Chordata; Mammalia; Rodentia; Caviidae
Exons: 2
Source: RefSeq, a predicted model, not a curated record